This 360-nucleotide ribosomal RNA is filed under the name Triticum aestivum (bread wheat). Its description in RNAcentral is "partial small subunit ribosomal RNA". Lineage: Eukaryota; Viridiplantae; Streptophyta; Magnoliopsida; Poales; Poaceae. The record is from RNAcentral.
AUGAAGAACCUCCAUGCCGAUGGAGUUUUGGAGUCACUUGAUUUUGAAUCACUUGACACAUGCAAGCCAUGCCUCAUUGGCAAGAUGACUAAAACCCCGUUUUCUGGAACAAUGGAACGGGCAAGUGACUUGUUGGAAAUCAUACAUGCUGAUGUGUGCGAUCCGAUGAGUGUUGACGCGUGCGGUGGAUAUCGUUAUUUUCUCACCUUCACCAAUGAAUUGAGUAGAUAUGGGUAUAUUUACUUAAUGAAGCAUAAGUCUGAAACGUUUGAAAAGUUCAAGCAAUUUCAGAGUGAAGUUGAGAAUCAUCAUAACAAGAAGAUCAAGUUCCUGCGAUCUGAUCAAGGGAAAAGUAUCUGA